UCAAGCAGCUGGGAGGCGACACAGCUGGGACAGGGCUAUCCCAUACCAUAUCACAUUGUGCUUGGCAGUGAAAGCUCAUGAACAGUGCUGUGGGAAGUCUUGUCUGAUACAUCUGAAAAUGCUGCUCCAAGGAUACUUGUGACACAUUCCUAUUGCCACCCAUUCAGUGACCAGCCGUCCUGCUAAAGGGAUUUCAUUCCACCAUGUGAUUUUAAUGAAGAAUAUGAAAAUCAGGAAAGAAGCCAGAACAGCACUCAUCUCUACUUUGGAAUAACGUAAGGAACACCUGAGAGGUUCACAACUUUGUCCUUUGACAUGCUCUGGAAAACAAUUUAAGCAUCUUCAAACAGGGCUGUUGGUCACUAGAAGGAGCUACGGUUUUCUUUAGCAUGUGCUUUGAUAUCGUUAACAAUACAAUUUAAAAUGCUAAUAUGGAAUUCCAGUGAAAAGCCUGGAUUUCUGAAUGCUUGUACUUUUUAAUAACAAUCUCUGCAGUUGCACUCAAACAGGGCAAAUAAUCUGGCUGUCAAUUUUUGAACAGACAGUUUGAGCAGAAGUACGUAACCGUGGAGCCGGGAAUAAUUCCUAAUAAUUGAAAGCACUUCAUAUUCAUGCAAAGUGCAUCUAAGAAACAUAUGGUUUAGAAUACUUUUCAUCUCAAGAAUAAUGUCAAUAAAUCCUUAAUUUUAUAAGGAUUCUUUCUUUUCCCCUGACAUAAUUAUCUUAAAAAUAUAUUACAGCUGUAGGUCAUAUUUUAAUGCAAAUGAAAGAUUUUGGUUUCUUUUGCUUGUGGGUUUGUUUUGGUUUUUAAUAAAGACACUUCCUGUUUAGAGAAUAUGGUACCAUCAAUUUUGAUUUAAAUGAUCCUCUCUGACAGAAGUUCCUUAUGCAGUAGAGUUUGGGAAAAAUUCAAUAGACAAAGACUUUUGAUUACAGCUGUGUAGUGGCAGGAGACAUGCAUAGUCACAGAGCAGCCAUUUUCUCAUUUUAAUAAGAAAACUAGAUAAAGAGGAACUAUUAUUUAGAAUAUUACUGCAGCUCUUCCCACUUCCACUCCAAGAGACACUGCAUUUUUCCUUCCCUUCAGUCAGUUAAGAACAUCACUUGCACUCACACAUGCACAGAAAAAGUGAAUGGAGACUGGAACACCCUGAUGAAAAAAUCAAGGUUUUGAAGUCACGGAAAUGAGUGUUGUUAUAAAAGUUGGCAUUGUAAGGCAGUAGAUGGGUGCUAGACUCAUUUAAUACAUCUGAAACUCACUUAGCUUGGACUAUAUUUUAUCAUGAAUACAGAAAAUACACCCUUCAGUUCUUACACUUGAAAAUUUAGACCAAGCAUUUGAUAUCACUGUGUUGAAGGUUUUAAUUUAUUCUCUCAAACACCCAGAGCCAUCUUAACUUCCAGACACCAAAUACAAAAGAUGGAAAAUAUGCAACUAUUUUAACAAUGAACAUAAGCAUCUUGGUGACGUGGAAGAGUAAGUCUCAUUAUCUUGCAGUAAAUUAAGGAUGUACGUAUCUUAAAAAGAAUUUUUAAAUGAAAUCAGCAAAAAUCCUGAUACACUCAUCAACACAAAGAGAUGCUGGCUUUGUUUUUAACACCCCCUGAUGGAAAUACUGCAACUAUUUUCCACUCGCAGCUUCUUGCGUUCCAGGUUCUGCAUUGAAUUGUAUAAGCCUUAGAUAACUAUAGCUUAUUCUAAUGCAUUUAAUUGUUAAUACUUAAACCCAUAAUGGUUUUUCUUUGAGUGGAAGGGCUAUUUCUGAGUCUCAUUUAAAGCUCACUUAGGAUAUUUCAGAGACAUUUAGCUGUUAGAUGUCAAAGAAUGACUAAAACCAAAACACGGUGAAGACAUUGCAUGUAUACAUCUCUCUGUAGAGGCAGAUAAGUAGGUCUAUAUUUUUUGCUUUCUUCCAUGUGAUUACACUACCCCUGGAGCACAAAUUGGACCCCCCCCCAAAGCUAAUGCGCUUUCUAAGGCAUUAUCCUUACCUUUCUCAUAUGUUUUUGCCUCUUUCAGAUGAAAACCUGUACAAGAAGUCUCAGCAUAAUAAACCCCCUCAUCAAGAUGAAGCUGCUGCACAAGCUUGAAUUACUAUAUUCUCACCAUGCUGUGAAAUCAACAUGAAGAAUAAGAUAGUAUAGCACAUCAGGAGAAAAUCUGCAUCUGUACUUGACUUCACAGAUCAAAGUAUCUCCUAAGCUGCACUUACUUUCCUGCUAAUAUCAAUAUACCAUGAAGAAAUUUCCCAAGGAGCAAUGAUACAACAGCUCACCCUUUUCCAGACUCUGAGUUGCACCCAUGUCUUUUGCUACUCUAUCAGAUGAUGCCUGCUUCUGUGACACCUCAAACCAGCAGCAACAACACAACCAAGGUGCCAACACAAGGUUCUGUUAUACAUUUUUCCACAUCAAGCUAACAGUGCUGACAGCAUGUCACGUAUUGCCCAGUAAUCACUGUGUUGAAGGUACUUGGGUGGUGAUGAUUGUCUCUGCCUUUUGCCAGCUUUUUUACUCCAUUUUUGUCAUUGUAUAGCAAUGAUUGAAAAGUCUGAACAAAAUCAAUACAAUAUAUUAUGCUAGCACUAAACACUGGCCAUCUAGUUGCACUGAUUAAGCAAAACUGAUUCAGUUGAAUCCGAAUUUCACUGAGAAUCCAAAACAUAAGCGUAUGGAAAAUUGUGGUGAUACAGGCUUUAUUUUUACUUGUUUGCAAAAAAAACCCCAUAACUUUAUCAAACAUUAUAAACACUUUCAGUGCUGACAACCCUCUUCAGACAUCAACUACUGUAAUUUUCCACACAUUUACAUAAUACUGGCUGAUUAAGCUGUCAGAAUUUUCAUUGCUGCUUGCUGCAGAAAUCAAAAAUAAAAACACAGCAUUCACAAUGCUUCACUCUCAGAUUUUGAAACCAGAGUGUAAGAAAUGGUAAAAUGGCUAAUCUGAAGCAUAUGGGGGAGUGUUCUCCUCAGUUACUAAUUCAUCUUUGCAGAAUUUAGCUUAUUUCCCCCAGUACAAGAUUUGCCCCAGGUGGUAGCAGCAUACUUACCAACAACCCAAGCUGUGGCUCUGCACUCCUGCCUGAAGAGCCCCACUGACGUGGACACCCUCUUCCUUCACAACUCAUACUAAAUUCCAGGCUUUCUUACCCUGGCAAUAUAAUUCUUACAGGACUUACACGACCUCAGGGCCUGACUGAUCUGGGAACCUAGAGAGCCAUUAUCACUUUAAGCUGGCUCUGCCCUAUAUUAUUUCAGUAUAAUGUAAUGCCUUUCCCAUUUAUCAUAUGUAUCUCUUCUGGCUUAUAUUGAAGUAGCACUGAUAUUCAUCUUAAGAUGCAUAUGGCAAGAUAUAAGUUAUCAUAUGAGCAUUCCAGAUUUAUAACAAAAAUUACCAUAUAAUUAUCAUUGCUGCCUUUACAUUCCCAUACAAUUUCCUCUCAAAAUAAUACAUGUUGUCUCACAGCUUAUAAUUAACUCAUAAGCUCUGUUGCUUCCACAGAAUGACCCAAAUUUUAAAUUUGAAAGGGAGUUCUACAGAGGACUACCAAUAAAUACAUAAUAUCUAUAAAGCAAAAGAAAUAUUCUGUUGUGGGUAAAAAAGUAGUUUCAAUUCCUAUCUGUAGAAAAGAAUAAGUACAAGAGCAACUGAUGGUGAACACUUUUAAAAUGUAAUAUUAAAAUAUUACAGAAAGAUUAAAGUAAGCAAUCCAUCCCCUAUGAAAUCAUCCCAUCUGAUUGCAAUGCACAUUAAGUUAACUCAGGCCAAAUAAAACCCCACAUCUACCAGGUUAACACCGAUCCAGAAAUGAGUCUAACAAUCCACAGUAACCAACUAUGAAAACACUGCACUGAAGCUUCUGAAGCUACAAGAAUUUACUCUUACAAAUUGGCCUUCAUAGCAACAGCAACCAAUUUAAGAUAUUUAUAAACUUUAAAAACACAAUUGUAGAAUAAGAACAACUAUAAGUUGUCUGGAACGCUUGUAUAGCCACACAGUGAGAAUCUUUUCAUCAGGACAUUCUUUACUUCUUAAAAGAACAUCUUAAAUUGCCUCUGAACUUCCAUUUGAGAACAUUCAGUUCCUCUGUUCUCAUCUUCAUACUCACUUACAGUAAUUUUCAUGGUUCAAGAAAAAUUUGGCAAAUGAAAAUACAGAUUUUAUUCUUCUGAAAGAGGUAUAGAAUGGCUAGCUGCUCUGUGAUAGAAUGGUGUGCUUCUACCCUGAUACGCAACUGACCUGCUUUCUUCAUUGAAAUUGUCUUUUUAUCUUAGACUGACUUUUCACAUGGGAAUUAAUGAUACUCUUAUUAGCCUUAUUGUGUACAGCCUUACUGUAAAGAAACAAGAUACUGUCAUAAUUUACUAUAUCUUUGAGUAUUUUAUCUUCAUCCAAGCUAUACUUGUUUCUUCCAUUACACUUCAGCUGUUUAAACUGUAUAGCUCUGACCAGCUACAUCUGCAAAAACAUGCCUGUGUUGUGCAGGGAAUUCCAGAUUGUUAUGAAGAGAUGCUGAAUAGUUUAUAUGAAUUUAAGGACGUAUCAGCAUAGCCAGCUCUUGCUUCAUUUGCCUUGAUAUGUUAAUUCUUUCCAUGUUGUAAAAGACUAAAGCAAGAUUAGCUGUGAUGGGGAUGAGAGGGGAUGCUCAAGAUGUGUUAAUAUUACCACAGAUAUCAAGGUGUCUGUAAAGCCUUGAUGAAUUAUUUCUAAAAAUAAUACUUAUGCAGGUAAUCAAUCUUGCAGGUUUUGUCAAAAAGAUACCCCCCCCCAACCCAAAUAUUGAUUGUGUAUAGCAGGACUAUGUUUAAGAAUGAUAAAAGGCACUUCAGUCAAUACAAACUGUGGCCACAGACACCUUGAGGCACGUGCAACAAAAAAAAAAUGUUGGGUUUUGUUGUGAUAUAUUUACUUCUCUUUCUGCUUUAAGUGCAGCCAGUUAUGCAGCUCCCACAGUAACUAUUGUUCUACUUACUUCUCUGGUUACAGUUUGCAGUCAUCUUUUAAAAUAACAAAUAAGGGUUACAUUUUGCAA
Long non-coding RNA from Pezoporus occidentalis (night parrot), 5033 nucleotides. RefSeq lists it as uncharacterized. Lineage: Eukaryota; Metazoa; Chordata; Aves; Psittaciformes; Psittacidae. The record is from RefSeq and is a predicted model, not a curated record. The transcript is spliced from 4 exons.